UGGGGGAUAUUGCACAAUGGGCGAAAGCCUGAUGCAGCGACGCCGCGUGGGGGAUGAAGGCCUUCGGGUUGUAAACUUCUUUUGCUCUGAACAAGGCAUGCUAAUGGGUGUGUUGAGUGUAGGGGUUGAUUAGCGCCGGCUAACUACGUGCCAGCAGCCGCGGUAAUACGUCGGGCGCGAGCGUUGUCCGGAAGUAUUGGGCGUAAAGGGCUUUGAGGUGGCUGGUUGCGUCUGUCGUGAAAGCUCAUGGCUUAACUGUGGGUUUGCGGUGGGUACGGGCUGGCUUGAGUGCAGUAGGGGAGGCUGGAAUUCCUGGUGUAGCGGUGGAAUGCGCAGAUAUCAGGAGGAAUACCGGUGGCGAAGGCGGGUCUCUGGGCUGUUACUGACACUGAGGAGCGAAAGCAUGGGGAGCGAACAGG
This 419-nucleotide ribosomal RNA is filed under the name bacterium. RNAcentral's name for it is "partial 16S ribosomal RNA". It matches the Rfam family "Bacterial small subunit ribosomal RNA", at positions 355 to 776 of the family's 1533-position model. The record is from RNAcentral.